This 479-nucleotide long non-coding RNA is filed under the name Mytilus galloprovincialis (Mediterranean mussel). The record is from RNAcentral. Lineage: Eukaryota; Metazoa; Mollusca; Bivalvia; Mytilida; Mytilidae.
AAUCUUACGCUUUGCUUUGUGUGGAUAAUUCAACGUAGUUCGGAAUAACUGGGCGAAGUGAACGAUUCACCUUGUGCUAUGCAUUCAUUGAUACGAACCAUCAUAAUGAUCAAUCUUGAGUCAUAAAGAAAUUGUCCAAUGAAUGCAUAUAGCAAAUGUGCACAUUUGAAUAUCUGUUUUACCUAAACGAACUGCAUAUAAUGAAUGAUGCGGCGUUUUAACACCUUACACAUGUUGAUAUUCCAAUAUCAAGACUGAUAUGCCGUUCUAUGACUUUAUCACACUUUGCAUACAGCGAUAUGACAUUAUUUCACCUUGCAUAAUAUGGAAUGGCAUUAUAUCAUGCCUAGCAUAUCACGAUAUGACAUAACCUCGCCUUGUGUAAAAUGAUAUGACAUUAUACAUGUUAUAUCACCUUUCAUACAAUGCUAUGGUAUGAUCUCGCCUUUCAUACAAUGAUAUGAUAUUAUCUCGCCUUG